Molecule: ribosomal RNA, 882 nt
Filed under: uncultured archaeon
Lineage: Archaea
Description: bacterial SSU rRNA
Rfam family: Archaeal small subunit ribosomal RNA
Source: RNAcentral
CCGUUCGACGAUUUUCCGGUUGAUCCUGCCAGAGGCCAUUGCUAUCAGGGUUUGACUAAGCCAUGCGAGUCGAGAGGUGUAAGACCUCGGCAUACUGCUCAGUAACACGUGGUUAACCUGCCCUAAGGUGGAGCAUACUCCCGGGAAACUGGGGCUAAUACUCCAUAGUGGAUAUAUCCUGGAAUGGUAUAUCCUCGAAAGAUCCGUCGCCUUAGGAUGGGACUGCGUCCGAUUAGGUUGUUGGCGGGGUAACGGCCCACCAAGCCUUUGAUCGGUACGGGUUGUGGGAGCAAGAUCCCGGAGAUGGAUUCUGAGACAUGAAUCCAGGCCCUACGGGGCGCAGCAGGCGCGCAAACUUUACAAUGCGAGCAAUCGUGAUAAGGAAACCCUGAGUGCCUGUCGAUGCAGGCUGUUCAUAUAUCUAAAUCAUAUGUGAAGAAAGGGCAGGGCAAGACCGGUGCCAGCCGCCGCGGUAAUACCGGCUGCUCGAGUGAUGGCCACUAUUACUGGGUUUAAAGCGUCCGUAGCUUGACUGUUAGGUCUCUUGGGAAAUCUUCACGCUCAACGUGAAGGCGUCUAAGAGAUACCGGCAGUCUUGGAACUGGGAGAGGUAAACCGUACUUCGGGGGUAGGAGUGAAAUCUUGUAAUCCUCGAGGGACGACCUAUGGCGAAGGCAGUUUACCAGAACAGCUUCGACAGUGAGGGACGAAAGCUGGGGGAGCAAACGGGAUUAGAUACCCCGGUAGUCCCAGCCGUAAACAAUGUGCGUUAGGUGUGUCGGUAACCACGUGUUACUGAUGCGCCGAAGAGAAAUCGUGAAACGCACCACCUGGGAAGUACGGUCGCAAGGCUGAAACUUAAAGGAAUUGGCGGGGGGGCAC